This 431-nucleotide ribosomal RNA is filed under the name uncultured bacterium. RNAcentral's name for it is "partial 16S ribosomal RNA". It matches the Rfam family "Bacterial small subunit ribosomal RNA", at positions 29 to 507 of the family's 1533-position model. The record is from RNAcentral.
AGCGAACGCUGGCGGCAGGCUUAACACAUGCAAGUCGAGCGCCCCGCAAGGGGCGCGGCAGCCGGGAGAGUAUCACGUGGGAACAUACCUUUUGGUUCGGAACAACUGAGGGAAACUUCAGCUAAUACCUGAUAAGCCCUUACGGGGAAAGAUUUAUCGCCGAAAGAUUGGCCCGCGUCUGAUUAGCUAGUUGGUGAGGUAACGGCUCACCAAGGCGACGAUCAGUAGCUGGUCUGAGAGGAUGAUCAGCCUCACUGAGACUGAGACACGGCCCAGACUCCUACGAGAGGCAGCAGUGGGGAAUAUUGGAAAAUGGGGGCGACCCUGAUCGAGCCAGGCCGCGUGAGUGAUGAAGGCCUGAGGGUUGUAAAGCUCUUUUGCCCGGGAAGAUAAUGACGGUACCGGGAGAAUAAGCCCCGGCUAACUUCGUG